Molecule: long non-coding RNA, 320 nt
Filed under: Nicotiana benthamiana
Lineage: Eukaryota; Viridiplantae; Streptophyta; Magnoliopsida; Solanales; Solanaceae
Description: long non-coding RNA (NBEN_LNC035345)
Source: RNAcentral
GAGGGAGAUCAAAAGGUAUGCCAAUUUUCUCGAGGAGAGGAAUUACUAGCUCGCAGGCUUCAAAAUGAUAACCUCCUUCCUUGCCCUCGAACCUACUAUCCAACGACAUGGAAGACUUAGCAUUGGCCUAUCACUCGAAUUCCAUUUUAUAGCACGCCAACAGGAGGGGGCUUCUUACAAAAGCACUCCAAGAACUCGCUUGAACUUUCAGAGAGAAGCAACUACUACUUCUCCAUCAAAGGAAAAAGAAGCAUCGACUAAAUAGAAGGCCCUUGAAUCUUAUCGUUAGCCUAUAGCGCUAUCUACCCUUAAGACUGACU